UUUCCGUAGGUGAACCUGCGGAAGGAUCAUUAAAGAGAUCAUGCCCUCACGGGUAGACCUCCCACCCUUUGUUUACAAUACCUUUGUUGCUUUGGCGGGCCCGUUUGGCCCCGCGCUGAACAACCGGCCCCGGCUGGUCAGUGCCCGCCAGAGAACCGAAAACUCUGAAUUAAAUGUCGUCUGAGUACUAUGUAAUAGUUAAAACUUUCAACAACGGAUCUCUUGGUUCU
Molecule: unclassified non-coding RNA, 230 nt
Filed under: plant metagenome
Description: partial contains small subunit ribosomal RNA, internal transcribed spacer 1, and 5.8S ribosomal RNA
Source: RNAcentral